RNAcentral lists this ribosomal RNA (524 nucleotides) under bacterium enrichment culture clone DWBac5. Its description in RNAcentral is "bacterial SSU rRNA". It matches the Rfam family "Bacterial small subunit ribosomal RNA", at positions 1 to 524 of the family's 1533-position model. The record is from RNAcentral.
UAGAGUUUGAUCCUGGCUCAGGAUGAACGCUAGCGGCAGGCUUAAUACAUGCAAGUCGAGGGGCAGCAUGGUGUAGCAAUACACUGAUGGCGACCGGCAAACGGGUGCGGAACACGUACAGAACCUUCCUUCGAGCGGGGAAUAGCCCAGAGAAAUUUGGAUUAAUACCCCAUAGUAUAUUGAAGAGGCAUCUCUUUAAUAUUAAAGAUUUAUCACUUGAAGAUGGCUGUGCGGCUGAUUAGGUAGUUGGCGGGGUAAUGGCCCACCAAGCCUGCGAUCAGUAACUGGUGUGAGAGCACGACCAGUCACACGGGCACUGAGACACGGGCCCGACUCCUACGGGAGGCAGCAGUAAGGAAUAUUGGUCAAUGGACGAAAGUCUGAACCAGCCAUGCCGCGUGGAGGAUGAAGGUCCUCUGGAUUGUAAACUUCUUUUAUAUGGGACGAAAAAAGGGUUUUCUAACUCGUCUGACGGUACCAUAUGAAUAAGCACCGGCUAACUCCGUGCCAGCAGCCGCGGUAAU